UGAGUAAAAUAUAGUAAGCAUUAUCAAUCGCUUGGCAACCAUGAAGGCCAUUCUCAUUGCUUUCUUACUCUUUGCUUCUCUUUUCUUCUUUCCCACUUCAACUAUGGCUCGACAACUCAAGGAAGGAACGUUUCAGACAGGAAACCCUAAUGACCCUAAUAAUCCUGCUAUUAAGUGUCCUCCCGGUCAGCCUUAUAGAAAUUGUCUUCCAUCACCGACACCACCAUGCUCACCAUUUGUACGCAAUUGCUGAUAUCUGAAUGAAUUAGAUAGUUUUACUCGUUCCUGGUACCAUUUAACACUUCCUGUGUUAAACCAUGGUGCUACCAUCUCUAUGUUUUUCCUUAUUUGGCUUAAAUGUGCUGUUUAAUAUAUAAGGGUUUGGCCUCUAGGCCAAUCCAAUAAAUAAGAACAUGGUUGCGUUUCCUUUUCGUU
Long non-coding RNA from Vigna umbellata (rice bean), 435 nucleotides. RefSeq lists it as uncharacterized. NCBI's taxonomy places the organism in Eukaryota, Viridiplantae, Streptophyta, Magnoliopsida, Fabales, Fabaceae. The record is from RefSeq and is a predicted model, not a curated record.